Molecule: ribosomal RNA, 494 nt
Filed under: uncultured bacterium
Lineage: Bacteria
Description: partial 16S ribosomal RNA
Rfam family: Bacterial small subunit ribosomal RNA
Source: RNAcentral
GACGAACGCUGGCGGCGUGCUUAACACAUGCAAGUCGAACGGAAAGGCCUGCUUUCCCUUGUGGAUUGCGGGUACUCGAGUGGCGAACGGGUGAGUAACACGUGAGUGAUCUUCCCCCAACUUGGGUAUAAGCCUGGGAAACUGGGUCUAAUUCCCGAUAGGACUGCAGGGUGGUGCCUGUGGUGGAAAACGAUUUUCUAGUGGUUGGGGAUGAGCUCGCGGCCUAUCAGCUUGUUGGUGGGGUAAUGGCCUACCAAGGCGGCGACGGGUAGCCGGCCUGAGAGGGUGGACGGCCACAUUGGGACUGAGAUACGGCCCAGACUCCUACGGGAGGCAGCAGUGGGGAAUAUGGCACAAUGGGCGGAAGCCUGAUGCAGCGACGCCGCGUGGGGGAUGACGGCCUUCGGGUUGUAAACUCCUUUCGACCGCGAGGAAGCCACCUGGUUGGAAGGGUGGUGACGGUAGUGGUAGAAGAAGCACCGGCUAACUACGUG